GUUACCCUGAUCAACGGACAAAAGCUACGCUAGGGAUAACAGGCUUAUCCGCCUUUAGAGUUCCUAUCGAUGGGCGGGUUUGGCACCUCGAUGUCGGAUCAUCGCGUCCUGUGGCUGAAGGAGGUCGCAAGGGUUGGAUUGUUCGUCCAUUAAAGUGGUACGUGAUCUGAGUUCAGACCGUCGUGAGACAGUUCGGUUUCUAUCUUUGUCAGCGAAAGGCUUGUUUUGAAACGCCUAUGCACAGUUAGCCGCUGGGGGCGAGUACGAAAGGACCAGACCCCUAUAAACCUCUGGUACACUUGUUGUCAUUUACACGGCAUAGCAAGAAAGCUAAGUUUUAAAAGGCUAGAUUGCCUACAUUCAAUAACACCGAAUGACCCCGACUUACAAAAAGUUUAGGACUAAAUUUAUGA
Molecule: unclassified non-coding RNA, 413 nt
Filed under: Chlamydomonas reinhardtii
Lineage: Eukaryota; Viridiplantae; Chlorophyta; Chlorophyceae; Chlamydomonadales; Chlamydomonadaceae
Description: L8 rRNA from Chlamydomonas reinhardtii (PDB 7PKT, chain 8)
Rfam family: Bacterial large subunit ribosomal RNA
Source: RNAcentral